AAAAGACUCUCGGCAACGGAUAUCUCGGCUCUUGCAUCGAUGAAGAACGCAGCGAAAUGCGAUACUUGGUGUGAAUUGCAGAAUCCCGUGAACCAUCGAGUCUUUGAACGCAAGUUGCGCCCGAAGCCGUCAGGCUGAGGGCACGCCUGCCUGGGUGUCGCA
This 162-nucleotide ribosomal RNA is filed under the name Sophora lehmannii. Its description in RNAcentral is "Ammothamnus lehmannii 5.8S ribosomal RNA". It matches the Rfam family "5.8S ribosomal RNA". Rfam says of the family: 5.8S ribosomal RNA (5.8S rRNA) is a component of the large subunit of the eukaryotic ribosome. Lineage: Eukaryota; Viridiplantae; Streptophyta; Magnoliopsida; Fabales; Fabaceae. The record is from RNAcentral.